RNAcentral lists this ribosomal RNA (516 nucleotides) under uncultured bacterium. RNAcentral describes it as "bacterial SSU rRNA". It matches the Rfam family "Bacterial small subunit ribosomal RNA", at positions 993 to 1509 of the family's 1533-position model. The record is from RNAcentral.
GAAUUUAGCAGAGAUGCUUAGUGCCUUCGGGAACUCUGAGACAGGUGCUGCAUGGCUGUCGUCAGCUCGUGUUGUGAAAUGUUGGGUUAAGUCCCGNAACGAGCGCAACCCUUAUCCUUUGUUGCCAGCACGUAAUGGUGGGAACUCAAAGGAGACUGCCGGUGAUAAACCGGAGGAAGGUGGGGAUGACGUCAAGUCAUCAUGGCCCUUACGAGUAGGGCUACACACGUGCUACAAUGGCGCAUACAAAGAGAAGCGACCUCGCGAGAGCAAGCGGACCUCAUAAAGUGCGUCGUAGUCCGGAUUGGAGUCUGCAACUCGACUCCAUGAAGUCGGAAUCGCUAGUAAUCGUAAAUCAGAAUGUUACGGUGAAUACGUUCCCGGGCCUUGUACACACCGCCCGUCACACCAUGGGAGUGGGUUGCAAAAGAAGUAGAUAGCUUAACCUUCGGGAGGGCGUUUACCACUUUGUGAUUCAUGACUGGGGUGAAGUCGUAACAAGGUAGGCGUAGUGCU